GGAAUUCCGAGUGUAGAGGUGAAAUUCGUAGAUAUUCGGAGGAACACCAGUGGCGAAGGCGGCUCACUGGCUCGAUACUGACGCUGAGGUGCGAAAGUGUGGGGAGCAAACAGGAUUAGAUACCCUGGUAGUCCACGCCGUAAACGAUGAGUGCUAAGUGUUAGGGGGUUUCCGCCCCUUAGUGCUGCAGCUAACGCAUUAAGCACUCCGCCUG
Molecule: ribosomal RNA, 214 nt
Filed under: Corethron pennatum
Lineage: Eukaryota; Bacillariophyta; Corethrophyceae; Corethrales; Corethraceae
Description: partial Bacterial small subunit ribosomal RNA
Rfam family: Bacterial small subunit ribosomal RNA
Source: RNAcentral